ACAAUGGACCUUGACCAGCUGAAGAGGGAGAAAAUAAAAAUGCAACUGAAAGUCUUGAAGCUGCAAGAUGAAUACUACACUCUGAAAAUAAAGGAACUUAAAGGAUGAAACAAUUUCACUGGAGCAAGCUUGCAUGGGAGCGAAAGCAAAAAUGAGUCCCUCUCAGGAUUCUGGGCCAAUUUAAUACUCCGAGCCACUUGAUGACUAUGGACCCAGAUGUCAACUUGAACUCUUGAAUUCUCGAAACGUGACCUCAAUCACUGUGAAAGACUAGGAUUACCGCCUCGCAGAUGUACGCCUCUGCCAACCAGUCAAGUUGCAGUUUACAUCCAUGUCCAUCCAAAAUGUCAUCAUUUUAUCUUAUUAGAUAUUUCUGUGAAGUUGUCAUAAUUAGCAUUUAGGUUUAUCAGACUAUUAGCUGAUCAUUUUCCAUUUCUUCUUCUUGCACUGAUGUAAAGAAACGUUACGGAAAAGUAGCAAUUUUGAAAUCUUUUGGGAUAUUUUUGUAAUUCACUGGCUCUUGUACUGGGCUGAUUUUUACACCUAUUAGCAUAGACAAAUUAGUAAACAUGUUUUCAGCUUUAGGAGAGGAAAUGUAUCUCACACAUGGACCUAAAUACUAAAGAUAAAUGCAGGGAAUCCAUCACGUGUACUUUUUUUAAUGAUAAUGUAUGUCUGCCAAAACGUUAUUUCCGCUUGUAAUGUAAUGUCCUUGUUCUUUGUUUGGUUUAUGUUGAUAUUUGUAGAUUGAAACAGACAUUUUAUUUGUGCAGGAUGUACGUAAACAAGGUGAAUAGAAAACUGCUGUCAGUCAUCUGGUAACUACAGGGCACAGAUAUAGUUAGAAAGGCAUUAUAAACGUAUUUGCAAAAGUCU
Long non-coding RNA from Sebastes umbrosus (honeycomb rockfish), 876 nucleotides. RefSeq lists it as uncharacterized. NCBI's taxonomy places the organism in Eukaryota, Metazoa, Chordata, Actinopteri, Perciformes, Sebastidae. The record is from RefSeq and is a predicted model, not a curated record. The transcript has 2 exons.